UUUAACUGAAGAGUUUGAUCAUGGCUCAGAUUGAACGCUGGCGGCAGGCUUAACACAUGCAAGUCGAGCGGGGGAAGGUAG
RNAcentral lists this ribosomal RNA (81 nucleotides) under Acinetobacter baumannii. Its description in RNAcentral is "partial 16S ribosomal RNA". It matches the Rfam family "Bacterial small subunit ribosomal RNA", at positions 1 to 79 of the family's 1533-position model. Lineage: Bacteria; Pseudomonadati; Pseudomonadota; Gammaproteobacteria; Moraxellales; Moraxellaceae. The record is from RNAcentral.